Molecule: non-coding RNA, 730 nt
Organism: Phascolarctos cinereus (koala)
Lineage: Eukaryota; Metazoa; Chordata; Mammalia; Diprotodontia; Phascolarctidae
Source: the annotation of a RefSeq genome assembly
AAAUACAAUUGGGUAACUCCUUUCAUGUGCAUAUAACCACUCCUGGGGUCCUUCAGUGUAGGCUGGACCAGCAUUGUUUUGCAUGGUGAUAUCCAAGGCACCUUCGCAAACUGAGCCUGAGAUACAAAUACCUCCCAUCUGUCUCCCUCUGAGCUCAGAGCUCUCUGCCUUCAGCUCUGCAAGAGUCACAAUGCUCUCCCAGUCCUUGCUCCUCUGGCUGUUACUGCUCUGGCCUCAAGCAUCGCAGGCAGCAAUUGUAUUGACCCAGUCCCCGGCCUCCCUGUCCGUGGCUCUAGGAGACAAAGUCACCAUCAGCUGCAAGGCCAGUUCCAGCGUUAGCAAGUGGAUGGCCUGGUACCAGCAGAAACCAGGACAGUCUCCCAAGCUCCUGAUCUAUGAUGCUUCCAACCUGCAGUCUGGGGUCCCUGCCCGGUUCAGUGGCAGUGGCUCUGGGACAGAUUUCACCCUCACCAUCAGUGCAGUGGAGGCUGAGGAUGUGGCAGACUAUUACUGUUUUCAGUAUUAUAGUGAUCCAUUCCCACAGUGUUUCAGCCCUGAACAAAAUCCUCUCCAGGCUACUCAGCCCUUCAGCAGAGGGCAGCAGCUGCUUCCCCAGAGUCACAGGCUUGAGGAAACCACUGCCCUCAGGGGAGAACUGGGCCCAAUUCAGCCCUGCUGCAGGAGCCAUUUCUCCCAGGGACCCUGGUGGAGAUAGAAAGAGGAAGAAGAG